Molecule: ribosomal RNA, 490 nt
Filed under: uncultured bacterium
Lineage: Bacteria
Description: partial 16S ribosomal RNA
Rfam family: Bacterial small subunit ribosomal RNA
Source: RNAcentral
AUUGAACGCUGGCGGCAGGCCUAACACAUGCAAGUCGAACGGUAACAGAAAGCAGCUUGCUGCUUUGCUGACGAGUGGCGGACGGGUGAGAAACGUCUGGGAAACAGCCAGAUGGAGGGGGAUAACUACUGGAAACGGUAGCUAAUACCGCAUAACGUUGCAAGACCAAAGUUGGGGAGCUUCGGGCCUCUUGCCUUCGGCUGAGCCAUGAUGGGAUUAGCUAGUAGGUGGGGUAACGGCUCACCUAGGCGACGAUCCCUAGCUGGUCUGAGAGGAUGACCAGCCACACUGGAACUGAGACACGGUCCAGACUCCUACGGGAGGCAGCAGUAGGGAAUAUUGCACAAUGGGCGCAAGCCUGAUGGAGCCAUGCCGCGUGUAUGAUGAAGGCCUUCGGGUCGUAAAGUACUUUCAGCGGGGAGGAAGGAAGGAAAGUUAAUACCUUUGCUCAUUGACGUUACCCGCAGAAGAAGCACCGGCUAACUACGUG